RNAcentral lists this microRNA precursor (64 nucleotides) under Gekko japonicus. RNAcentral describes it as "Gja-Mir-30-P1d_pre stem-loop". It matches the Rfam family "mir-30 microRNA precursor family", at positions 9 to 69 of the family's 77-position model. Rfam says of the family: This family consists of the mammalian microRNA (miRNA) precursor mir-30a. Animal miRNAs are transcribed as ~70nt precursors and subsequently processed by the Dicer enzyme to give a ~22nt product. The record is from RNAcentral. Lineage: Eukaryota; Metazoa; Chordata; Lepidosauria; Squamata; Gekkonidae.
UGUAAACAUCCUUGACUGGAAGCUGUACAGUGCUCAGGAGGGCUUUCAGUCGGAUGUUUACAGC